Molecule: ribosomal RNA, 523 nt
Filed under: Pleosporales sp. E9321b
Lineage: Eukaryota; Fungi; Ascomycota; Dothideomycetes; Pleosporales
Description: eukaryotic LSU rRNA
Rfam family: 5.8S ribosomal RNA (bases 148-301)
Source: RNAcentral
GGGGCUACGUUAGGAUGCGCUACGGCCAGCGUUUAUCACCCUUGACUUUGAGCACCUUCGUUUCCUCGGCGGGUCCGCCCGCCAGCGAGGACCCCCUAAACGCUUUGUAGUAAGCAGUAUUUGUCUGAAAAACAUACCAAUAAUCAAAACUUUCAACAAUGGAUCUCUUGGUUCUGGCAUCGAUGAAGAACGCAGCGAAAUGCGAUAAGUAGUGUGAAUUGCAGAAUUCAGUGAAUCAUCGAAUCUUUGAACGCACAUUGCGCCCCAUGGUAUUCCGUGGGGCAUGCCUGUUCGAGCGUCAUUAGGAACCUCAAGCUCAGCUUGGUGUUGGGUGCUUGUCCCGCCUCUGCGCGGCGACUCACCUCAAAAACAGUGGCAGCCCGCAUCCGCCGGCCGUGAGCGCAGCACAGUCGCGCCCUAGGUCCUGGCGGGUCGGCUCUCCAGAAGCUCUUUUGUACAUGAUUGACCUCGGAUCAGGUAGGGAUACCCGCUGAACUUAAGCAUAUCAAAAGUCGGAGGAAGC